This 306-nucleotide ribosomal RNA is filed under the name uncultured Pseudomonas sp. RNAcentral describes it as "bacterial SSU rRNA". It matches the Rfam family "Bacterial small subunit ribosomal RNA", at positions 1075 to 1382 of the family's 1533-position model. Lineage: Bacteria; Pseudomonadati; Pseudomonadota; Gammaproteobacteria; Pseudomonadales; Pseudomonadaceae. The record is from RNAcentral.
UUGGGUUAAGUCCGUAACGAGCGCAACCCUUGUCCUUAGUUACCAGCACGUUGUGGUGGGCACUCUAAGGAGACUGCCGGUGCAAACCGGAGGAAGUGGGGAUGACGUCAAGUCAUCAUGGCCCUUACGGCCUGGGCUACACACGUGCUACAAUGGUCGGUACAAAGGGUUGCCAAGCCGCGAGGUGGAGCUAAUCCCAUAAAACCGAAUCGUAGUCCGGAUCGCAGUCUGCAACUCGACUGCGUGAAGUCGGAAUCGCUAGUAAUCGUGAAUCAGAAUGUCACGGUGAAUACGUUCCCGGGCCUU